RNAcentral lists this ribosomal RNA (459 nucleotides) under uncultured bacterium. Its description in RNAcentral is "partial 16S ribosomal RNA". It matches the Rfam family "Bacterial small subunit ribosomal RNA", at positions 338 to 795 of the family's 1533-position model. The record is from RNAcentral.
CCUACGGGAGGCUGCAGUGAGGAAUAUUGGUCAAUGGGCGCGAGCCUGAACCAGCCAAGUAGCGUGAAGGAUGACUGCCCUACGGGUUGUAAACUUCUUUUAUAAAGGAAUAAAGUGAGGCACGUGUGCCUUUUUGUAUGUACUUUAUGAAUAAGGAUCGGCUAACUCCGUGCCAGCAGCCGCGGUAAUACGGAGGAUCCGAGCGUUAUCCGGAUUUAUUGGGUUAAAAGGGAGCGUAGGCGGAGCGUUAAGUCAGUGGUAAAAUUGAGGGGCUCAACCCCUUCCCGCCAUUGAAACUGGCGCGCUUGAGUGGAAGAGAAGUAUGCGGAAUGCGUGGUGUAGCGGUGAAAUGCAUAGAUAUCACGCAGAACCCCGAUUGCGAAGGCAGCAUGCCGGCUUCCGACUGACGCUGAAGCACGAAAGCGUGGGGAUCGAACAGGAUUAGAUACCCUUGUAGUC